GGGGGAUAUUGCACAAUGGAGGAAACUCUGAUGCAGCGACGCCGCGUGAGGGAUGACGGCCUUCGGGUUGUAAACCUCUUUCAGCAGGGAAGAAGCGAAGGUGACGGAACCUGAAGAAGAAGCGCGGGCUACCUAGGGGCAAGCAGCCGCGGUAAUACGUAGGGCGCAAGCGUUGUCCGGAAUUAUUGGGCGUAAAGAGCUCGUAGGCGGUUAGUCGCGUCUGCUGUGAAAACUCGAGGCUCAACCUCGGGCUUGCAGUGGGUACGGGCUGACUAGAGUGCGGUAGGGGUGACUGGAAUUCCUGGUGUAGCGGUGGAAUGCGCAGAUAUCAGGAGGAACACCGAUGGCGAAGGCAGGUCACUGGGCCGCAACUGACGCUGAGGAGCGAAAGCAUGGGGAGCGAACA
This 406-nucleotide ribosomal RNA is filed under the name uncultured Cellulomonas sp. RNAcentral's name for it is "bacterial SSU rRNA". It matches the Rfam family "Bacterial small subunit ribosomal RNA", at positions 356 to 774 of the family's 1533-position model. Lineage: Bacteria; Bacillati; Actinomycetota; Actinomycetes; Micrococcales; Cellulomonadaceae. The record is from RNAcentral.